CUGCUAGCAGCUCAUCGUUUAGGGAGCGACUAGUUUUGGGCUGGAAAAGGAAUUGAAAACGAAGCUCUCUUUUCUCUUUUCCUUCUUUUCCUCCUUCUUCUUUUUUCUUCUCCGUCUUC
Molecule: non-coding RNA, 119 nt
Organism: Caenorhabditis elegans
Lineage: Eukaryota; Metazoa; Nematoda; Chromadorea; Rhabditida; Rhabditidae
Source: Ensembl